Molecule: long non-coding RNA, 1463 nt
Organism: Erinaceus europaeus (western European hedgehog)
Lineage: Eukaryota; Metazoa; Chordata; Mammalia; Eulipotyphla; Erinaceidae
Exons: 2
Source: RefSeq, a predicted model, not a curated record
UGAAGAGAUCUCUUGAGCAGAAGUUCCCCAGGCUUGCCUUCAUGCAGCCAUCUUGGCUCUGUGCUCGGGGAUGGGAGACUUUGCUCUCUUUUUCCCGUGUGAUCUUGGACGAGAUAUGUGGUUUCUUUGAAGUUCCUUAAAGGAGAGCUUGGCAGCUGGUGGGAUAGAACUCAGGACCUCAUGCUUGAGAAUAUACCUCCUUUAUUAUUUUUAGUAUUAGUUCUUAUCUAUGUAUGAGAGAGAAGAGGAGGAGGAGAAAGGGGAUGUGGCAGGGGAGGAGAGAUUGAAAAAUAGAGCACCAGAGCAUCACUCUGGCAUAUGUGGUGCCAGGGAUUGAAUUUAUCACAUGCUGGAGAGCCCAGUGGCUUAUCCACUGUGCCACAAUAAGAGAUUGCAGCUCUCUUCAUUAAAGAGCCCCCUCCCCCCUGCCCCUGCUUGAAGAAUCAGGAACAUCUUCAGUCACUGGUCUACAGCCAGAUGUGCUAGGGGUUUCUGGUUCCUUGGUAUUUGAGACAAAUAGAGGAAGACAACCCAGUUUGUCCUUCCUUCCUCCCUCCCUCCCUCCCUUCCUUCCUGCCUGCCUUCCUCCCUUCCUUUCACCCUUUCACCAGAGCACUGUUCUGGGAGAUUCAACCUGGGUCCUUUGGAGCCUCAGGCAUGAGAUUUUGCAGAGCUAUUAUGUUAUCUCUCUAGCUCUAUAGUUUAGAGUGAAAUACAGAGAGUGAGAAAGGGAGAGGAGACAGACAGACAGACAGACAGAAAGGAGAUGCACCACUUCACCUUCCAUGGAGUUCCCCAGGGCCACCCAGCUGCUCUUUAAGGCUCAGCUCAGCUAGGAAGCCCUAGCUGACUGCCAGUCCAGGUCAGGUACCUCUGGAGCAGGGAGGCCAGCUCAGACACCAAAUGCCUGGAGGGCUCUUAGGUGGAUGCAGGCAUCCUUCAUGCUUGACUUCUUGACCUGUAUGGUUAUUGGAUAUUUGCAGUGCUAGCUAGGCCAAGACUCUCCCACUUAGGGGAUGACUCCUCUUAGCCUCUGGCCACAGGUUUUCCUUCUGCCAGUUCCAGUCAGUGAUGGGUGUCUAAGGCACAGGCCCUAGUCUAGCUAGCUUCUGGCCACAGGUUAUACUGCUAAUUCCAAUGGAGGGUGGUAAAGUCAGCCUCCCACCGGGAGCUACCAGGAACAUUAAAAAAAAAAAAAAAAAAAAAAAAAACCAGGGCUUUACUUCCAUCUUUCCCUCAAACCAUCUCUGCCUCACUUUCCCCAUUUUCUUUUCAGUCUGCCUCUAACCCCCCACAUCAUGUUUAUUCACUCAGCUCUCAUAUUGGUGGUCCUAUUCCCUACUGACUCCACUGAAACUGGCAAUGAAAAGGUUUGGCAGAAAGCUUGGUUUUUCCCUCCUGAGAUUUCACUUGGUGGUUCAUUGAUUUGUGUAAAAAUAUAAAAAUGUCAGUGUUUCCUUUUU